AUUGAACGCUGGCGGCAGGCCUAACACAUGCAAGUCGGACGGUAGCACAGAGAGCUUGCUCUUGGGUGACGAGUGGCGGACGGGUGAGUAAUGUCUGGGGAUCUGCCCGAUAGAGGGGGAUAACCACUGGAAACGGUGGCUAAUACCGCAUAACGUCGCAAGACCAAAGAGGGGGACCUUCGGGCCUCUCACUAUCGGAUGAACCCAGAUGGGAUUAGCUAGUAGGCGGGGUAAUGGCCCACCUAGGCGACGAUCCCUAGCUGGUCUGAGAGGAUGACCAGCCACACUGGAACUGGGACACGGUCCAGACUCCGACGGGAGGCAGCGGUGGGGAAUAUUGCACAAUGGGCGCAAGCCUGAUGCAGCCAUGCCGCGUGUAUGAAGAAGGCCUUCGGGUUGUAAAGUACUUUCGGCGGGGAGGAAGGCGGUGAGGUUAAUAACCUUGCCGAUUGACGUUACCCGCAGAAGAAGCACCGGCUAACUCCGUGCCAGCAGCCGCAGUAA
RNAcentral lists this ribosomal RNA (504 nucleotides) under uncultured bacterium. RNAcentral's name for it is "partial 16S ribosomal RNA". It matches the Rfam family "Bacterial small subunit ribosomal RNA", at positions 29 to 523 of the family's 1533-position model. The record is from RNAcentral.